This 434-nucleotide ribosomal RNA is filed under the name uncultured bacterium. Its description in RNAcentral is "partial 16S ribosomal RNA". It matches the Rfam family "Bacterial small subunit ribosomal RNA", at positions 27 to 507 of the family's 1533-position model. The record is from RNAcentral.
GAACGAACGCUGGCGGCAUGCCUAACACAUGCAAGUCGAACGAGACCUUCGGGUCUAGUGGCGCACGGGUGCGUAACGCGUGGGAACCUGCCCUUAGGUUCGGAAUAACUCCCCGAAAGGGGUGCUAAUACCGGAUAAUGUCUUCGGACCAAAGAUUUAUCGCCUUUGGAUGGGCCCGCGUUGGAUUAGCUAGUUGGUAGGGUAAAAGCCUACCAAGGCGACGAUCCAUAGCUGGUCUGAGAGGAUGAUCAGCCAUACUGGGACUGAGACACGGCCCAGACUCCUACGGGAGGCAGCAGUGGGGAAUAUUGGACAAUGGGCGAAAGCCUGAUCCAGCAAUGCCGCGUGAGUGAUGAAGGCCUUAGGGUUGUAAAGCUCUUUUACCCGGGAUGAUAAUGACAGUACCGGGAGAAUAAGCUCCGGCUAACUCCGUG